GCAUGCCUGUUCGAGCGUCAUUUCAACCCUCAAGCUCUGCUUGGUGUUGGGGCUCUACGGUUGACGUAGGCCCUUAAAGGUAGUGGCGGACCCUCUCGGAGCCUCCUUUGCGUAGUAACAUUUCGUCUCGCAUUGGGAUUCGGAGGGACUCUAGCCGUAAAACCCCCAAUUUUACUAAGGUUGACCUCGGAUCAGGUAGGAAUACCCGCUGAACUUAAGCAUAUCAAUAAGCGGAGGAAAAGAAACCAACAGGGAUUGCCCCAGUAACGGCGAGUGAAGCGGCAACAGCUCAAAUUUGAAAUCUGGNCCCUAGGCCCGAGUUGUAAUUUGCAGAGGAUGCUUUUGGCGCGGUGCCUUCCGAGUUCCCUGGAACGGGACGCCAUAGAGGGUGAGAGCCCCGUACGGUUGGACACCAAGUCUUUGUAAAGCUCCUUCGACGAGUCGAGUAGUUUGGGAAUGCUGCUCAAAAUGGGAGGUAUAUUUCUUCUAAAGCUAAAUAUUGGCCAGAGACCGAUAGCGCACAAGUAGAGUGAUCGAAAGAUGAAAAGCACUUUGAAAAGAGGGUUAAACAGCACGUGAAAUUGUUAAAAGGGAAGCGCUUGUGACCAGACUUGCGUCCGGUGAAUCACCCAGCUCUCGCGGCUGGGGCAUUUUGCCGGCUCAGGCCAGCAUCAGCUUGCCGUCGGGGACAAAAGCUUCGGGAACGUAGCUCUCUUCGGGGAGUGUUAUAGCCCGUUGCAUAAUACCUUCGGUGGGCUGAGGUACGCCGUCCGCAAGGAUGCUGGCGUAAUGGUCAUCAGCGACCCGUCUUGAAACACGGACCAAGGAGUCAACCUUAUGUGCGAGUGUUUGGGUGUUAAACCCCUACGCGUAAUGAAAGU
This 881-nucleotide ribosomal RNA is filed under the name Colletotrichum truncatum. Its description in RNAcentral is "partial 28S ribosomal RNA". The stretch from base 182 to 881 matches the Rfam family "Eukaryotic large subunit ribosomal RNA", at positions 1 to 726 of the family's 3401-position model. Lineage: Eukaryota; Fungi; Ascomycota; Sordariomycetes; Glomerellales; Glomerellaceae. The record is from RNAcentral.